This 306-nucleotide ribosomal RNA is filed under the name Triticum aestivum (bread wheat). Its description in RNAcentral is "partial small subunit ribosomal RNA". The record is from RNAcentral. Lineage: Eukaryota; Viridiplantae; Streptophyta; Magnoliopsida; Poales; Poaceae.
AUGUCGCUCAGAAAAGGGACCAUGACCUCUGCGUUCCAUCAUCCAUGUGUGGUUGCACAUGGACGAGACGAGAUCAUCCAUCACUAUAACUCGUUGCACAGGAAAGAUUUGAAGAACCACUGGGGUAUGUUGACGGAGAUACAUGACUACAUCAAGGACCGUGCCCAACUCAGAGAGAUGUUCGCUCUUCUCCUGAGAUGGUAUCGGAUCCUUCUACAGCAGCAAUCCCAAGUACCAACACUGCAGCCCCUAUCACCGACAACACAACCGGCGUUGAAGGACCAAGAGAAGGUGUUGAAGUCCUAA